This 497-nucleotide ribosomal RNA is filed under the name uncultured bacterium. RNAcentral's name for it is "partial 16S ribosomal RNA". It matches the Rfam family "Bacterial small subunit ribosomal RNA", at positions 28 to 507 of the family's 1533-position model. The record is from RNAcentral.
GACGAACGCUGGCGGCGUGCCUAAUACAUGCAAGUUGAGCGAUGAAGAUUGGUGCUUGCCCCAAUUUGAAGAGCAGCGAACGGGUGAGUAACGCGUGGGGAAUCUGCCUUUGAGCGGGGGACAACAUUUGGAAACGAAUGCUAAUACCGCAUAACAACUUUAAACAUAAGUUUUAAGUUUGAAAGAUGCAAUUGCAUCACUCAAAGAUGAUCCCGCGUUGUAUUAGCUAGUUGGUGAGGUAAAGGCUCACCAAGGCGAUGAUACAUAGCCGACCUGAGAGGGUGAGCGGCCACAUUGGGACUGAGACACGGCCCAAACUACUACGGGAGGCAGCAGUAGGGAAUCUUCGGCAAUGGACGAAAGUCUGACCGAGCAACGCCGCGUGAGUGAAGAAGGUUUUCGGAUCGUAAAACUCUGUUGGUAGAGAAGAACGUUGGUGAGAGUGGAAAGCUCAUCAAGUGACGGUAACUACCCAGAAAGGGACGGCUAACUACGUG